Long non-coding RNA from Musa acuminata AAA Group (dessert banana), 575 nucleotides. RefSeq lists it as uncharacterized. NCBI's taxonomy places the organism in Eukaryota, Viridiplantae, Streptophyta, Magnoliopsida, Zingiberales, Musaceae. The record is from RefSeq and is a predicted model, not a curated record. The transcript is spliced from 2 exons.
UUACAAUAGUAACAUUGCAUGUAUUAUACUAAGCCUUCUCCACACAUGCAUGCCAAUGAUGACAACCAUCACCACUUGGUCAAGUCAAAAGACUGCCAGAAAAAUAUCAAGCCAUGUCGCAAUCACAUGCCAAUCAUCGAUUACGCAUACAACCCUCUCUUCCACAUGUUCUUCAUCGUCUCCUACCUUCGACCCUCUCCCUCUCUCUCAUGCUUUCUCCCCUCUCCUCCUCCUCCUGGAAGCGGGAUGGCGAGCUUGGGAGGUGGUGAGUCGCCGCCAGCGGCGGUCUGUUGCAUGUGCGGCGAUCACGGCUUGCUGCAGGAGCUGUUUCAGUGCAAGGUCUGCCUCGUUAGAUCUCAGCACAGAUACUGCAGCGACCUUUAUCCCAAGUCCGAGUCAUACCGAGCAUGCAAUUGGUGUCUAAGAGAUGGAGGAGCAAAAGGUCUUGCGGGAGAUGCCAAAAGGUCAACCUCUUCCUGCAACGUCAUGGACCGUCGAAGCAGCGGCAGUACUGGCACAGGAGUCAAGGUCCACCGUCAGGCUUCUCCGUCACAGCUGAGCAAGCCCAUCAAGAA